CCUACGGGGGGCUGCAGUAACGAAUCUUCCCCAAUGCACGAAAGUGUGAGGGAGCGACGCCGCGUGGAGGAUGAAGUCCUUCGGGAUGUAAACUCCUGUCAGGGGUUACCAAGUUCUGAGGAGCCCCAGAGGAAGUGGCGGCUAACUCUGUGCCAGCAGCCGCGGUAAGACAGAGGCCACAAGCGUUAGGCGGAAUCACUGGGCUUAAAGCGUGUGUAGGUGGAUGCCUAAGUACCUUGUGAAAUCCCACGGCUCACCCGUGGAACUGCUUGGUAUACUGGGUGUCUUGAGCCAUCUAGGGGCAGCUGGAACGAACGGUGGAGCGGUGAAAUGCGUAGAUAUCGUUCGGAACGCCAAAGGUGAAAACAGGCUGCUGGGGAUGUGCUGACACUGAGACACGAAAGCCAGGGGAGCAAACGGGAUUAGAUACCCUUGUAGUC
RNAcentral lists this ribosomal RNA (440 nucleotides) under uncultured bacterium. RNAcentral's name for it is "bacterial SSU rRNA". It matches the Rfam family "Bacterial small subunit ribosomal RNA", at positions 338 to 795 of the family's 1533-position model. The record is from RNAcentral.